CAGCCGCCGCGGGAAUACGUAGGUGGCAAGCGUUGUCCGGAAUUAUUGGGCGCAAAGGGCUCGCAGGCGGUUUCUUAAGUCUGAUGUGAAAGCCCCCGGCUCAACCGGGGAGGGUCAUUGGAAACUGGGAGACUUGAGUGCAGAAGAGGAGAGUGGAAUUCCACGUGUAGCGGUGAAAUGCGUAGAGAUGUGGAGGAACACCAGUGGCGAAGGCGACUCUCUGGUCUGUAACUGACGCUGAGGAGCGAAAGCGUGGGGAGCGAACAGGAUUAGAUACCCCCGUAGUCCCUGUCUCUUAUAC
Molecule: ribosomal RNA, 301 nt
Filed under: uncultured bacterium
Lineage: Bacteria
Description: partial 16S ribosomal RNA
Rfam family: Bacterial small subunit ribosomal RNA
Source: RNAcentral